RNAcentral lists this long non-coding RNA (483 nucleotides) under Monodelphis domestica (gray short-tailed opossum). Its description in RNAcentral is "lncRNA (ENSMODG00000050528.1)". The record is from RNAcentral. Lineage: Eukaryota; Metazoa; Chordata; Mammalia; Didelphimorphia; Didelphidae.
GCCUUUGUAAGGUUGAUGGUGGCUCUCAGCAAUCAUUUCAACAGCUUUGUAAAACACUGUCGCAGAGCCAGAAUUUGGCCACAUCGCCCCAAAUGUCAGGUGGUUGGGCCCUUCCUGACUGCUUGUUAAUAUACUGCAAGCUAAUUAGGCAAAGCAAACUUGUCAAACAUCUGGGGCAGGCAGAACCCCUGGGGGCCAGCCUAGCUGCUUUGGGCUGCACUUUGGACACCCAGGCCUGAAUGUAUUCCUCCUCCGGAGAGUAUUUGAAUUUUAAUGCUGGACAAAGCCCUAAGGUCUGUUGCAAGCAUAGAAUGAAGAACUUAGGUUUGUCCAACUUGGCUCCAGAAGACAGAAUUAGGAACAACCCAUGGAAGAGUUUGAAAGGCAGAUCAACUCCAAGUAAGGAAAACUGUCCUGUAGACACCUGCAGGAAUCUGGUAAGUGGACCCAUCUUCCCCGGAAAGUAGUGGACUUCCCCUCCCU